UUGGUCGUGCCACUGGUACGUACUGGUCUUACUGAUUCCUCCCUCCUGAUGAACUGUAAUGCCAUUAAUUUGGUGUUGCAGGGAAUCUGGACUGUUACUUUGAAAAAAUUAGAGUGUUUAAAGCAGGCUAACGCUUGAAUACAUUAGCAUGGAAUAAUGAAAUAGGACGCUCGAUCCUAUUUUGUUGGUUUCUAGGAUUGACGUAAUGAUUAAUAGGGAUAGUUGGGGGCAUUAGUAUUCAAUUGUCAGAGGUGAAAUUCUUGGAUUUAUUGAAGGCUAACUACUGCGAAAGCAUUUGCCAAGGAUGUUUCCAUUAAUCAAAACGAAAGUUAGGGGAUCGAAGACGAUCAGAUACCGUCGUAGUCUUAACCAUAAACUAUGCCGACUAGGGAUCGGAUGAUGUUAAUUUUUUAAUGACUCAUUCGGCGCCUUACGGGAAAC
This 441-nucleotide ribosomal RNA is filed under the name uncultured Glomus. Its description in RNAcentral is "SSU rRNA". It matches the Rfam family "Eukaryotic small subunit ribosomal RNA", at positions 658 to 1098 of the family's 1831-position model. The record is from RNAcentral. Lineage: Eukaryota; Fungi; Glomeromycota; Glomeromycetes; Glomerales; Glomeraceae.